This is a long non-coding RNA of Branchiostoma floridae (Florida lancelet), 189 nucleotides long. RefSeq lists it as uncharacterized. The record is from RefSeq and is a predicted model, not a curated record. Lineage: Eukaryota; Metazoa; Chordata; Leptocardii; Amphioxiformes; Branchiostomatidae. The transcript is spliced from 2 exons.
UCUCCCAGAGUCUUCAUGGGCACAGUCACGUACCUGGUCAUGGUCAAGCAACGGGCGUCUAUGACUCCCAUGCCCUAUGUUUCCUACACCAGAGCCAUCGACGUGUGGUACCUGGGCUGCCUGGUGUUCGUGGUGCUGGCCAUGUUGGAGUAUCCUGUUGUACAUGUCAUGGAACGAACCAAGGGGAAG